Molecule: ribosomal RNA, 497 nt
Filed under: uncultured bacterium
Lineage: Bacteria
Description: partial 16S ribosomal RNA
Rfam family: Bacterial small subunit ribosomal RNA
Source: RNAcentral
GAUGAACGCUGGCGGCGUGCCUAAUACAUGCAAGUCGAGCGAACAGAUGAGGAGCUUGCUCCUCUGACGUUAGCGGCGGACGUGUGAGUAACACGUGGAUAACCUACCUAUUAGUCUGGGAUAACUUCGGGAAACCGGAGCUAAUACCGGAUAAUAUAUUGAACCGCAUGGUUCAAUAGUUAAAUACGGUUUUGCUUUCUCUUAUAGAUUUUUCCGCGCCUCAUUAUCUAGUUGGUAAGGUAACGGCUUACCAAGGCAACCAUGCGUAGCCGAGCUGAGAGGGUGAUCGGCCACACUGGAACGGAGACACGGACAAGAGUCCGACGGGAGGAAGCAGUAGGGAAUCUUCGGCAAUGGGCGAAAGCAUGACGGAGCAACGCAGAGUGAGGGAUGAAGGUCUUCGGAUCGUAAAACUCUGUUAUUAGGGAAGAACAAAUGAGUAAGUAACUAUGAACGUAGUGACGGUACCUAAUCAGAAAGCCACGGCUAACUACGUG